UUCUUAACAGCGCACCUUUUGCCCAGCUGCGGGAUGGCCUGGAGUUUGUUUAUUUGUUUAUUUGUUUUUAUUAUUAUUUGUUUGUUAUUUGUUGAGAAUUUAAAAAAAUACAGAGGAAAAAUAGGGCUUCUGCCUUUACAGACAGACUCCUGAUCUGUCAACAGUGAGCACCACACGCGUCUGUAUUGACUAAAAAUCACUUGGACCAUAGAUCACUUUAUUGGCUGUUAGGAUGCUAAUGCAACAUGUGAGGUACCAAACAGUGUAUUUAAUAUUUUCUUGUCCUGCUCUGGUAGAAAUAUCUAGAAUAUGAACCAAAAAAAGCAGUUAAGAGUGAUUAGAAGCAUUUCUGGUAAACUUAGAUGUUAAGGAAGUUUCUGAUAUUAGGCUCUCAUCUCCACCAGACAGAUUUAUUGGCACAGAUCAAUUUUGAUAUCCGGUAGCUUGGUACCUCAGAAGAGGGACCCCAACAAAGAAAUUUCUGGGCAGCAAUGCACUUCUCAGCUUUGUACUGUUAGCUGUUGAACUCCUCCACUUCAAGAAACCAAUAUCCUGCAAACAUUUCUGUUAAUCAACUUAUCAACUGUGUUAUUUCCAAAUUAUUUGCACUUUUCUGUCCCCUUCUUCCCCUAUCCCCUGAUGACACUGGGACUGAGAGGUGAAAUACUGCUUAUCAGUGCCAAGGGGGGCUCUGUGUUGGUGUGCAGUGCUUAGGUAAGCAGAAGUAAGGACACCUCCUCUUGCAAAAAACUGUUCUCUCUGCCUGUUUUCUAGGAUGAGGCAGGUAUGGCCCUGAGAAGGUGCAGCUUGCAAACAACCAUUUUGGAGAGUGAGAAAAAGGAGGAAAGGGGUCUGUCUUCCAGUGUGGAAAAUGCAAACUGCAAGUCCCCAGUCCAUGUACAGUGACAGUGUCACACCUGGGCUGUGUCUUGGGCUAAGGAGUUUCUGUGUUUUUCUCACAAGGAUCAUGGUUAGGACUUAGCAAGGCUUAUGAGGCUGUAAAAGGUGUAUAUUACGUACGACUCCACAGCCUGGGAAGAGAAACAGACAUUUAAUGACAUCUGAGGACCGAGAUAAAAAAACUGAAGCAACUGCUUACACAGUCCCUGUGAGAAAAUACACUGCUUCCAUUCUUCUUGCGACACACAGGCUGCUGUCUGGCAGGCCAGCUGAACCACAGCCAGCAUGUCCACAGGCCUCUGCUGGCUCAGCACGCCGGGUGCAGUUGCCUGGUUGUUUCAUUACAGCUUGUUCUCAUGGGUUUUGCAAACCAGCUGCCACCUUCGCCUACUCUGUGCUGGGAGAAGGUAUUUCAGCUGUUUGUUCCUGAGCAGCUUUCUGGUUCUGUGUGGUCUGUUGAAUUAGUUUAGACAAGCUGCAGUCAUGAUGAACAGCGUUGGAAUGUGGGUGCUUUGAAUGGGGACUGGUAGUUCAGUGCCACUUUCAAAAGUUUCUUUUCACUUUAUGGGCUGAUUCCUGAUAUUUGUGUCCAACCAAGUGCCCUGUUCCCUCCUUCCACAUGUAACUUCUGCACAGGUGGUUAUUUGAAACUGUGCUGUGGUGAUCCCUUACACUGGAAGCUUCUCUCAUAAGAUGCAUCUCCUGUGCUCUGACAGUUAAAGCGUGGUAGCUGGGGACACUGUCUUCGUACCUGGAACGCCGGAAGAAUCCACACUGGGGCAGAGGAGAAAAAGAACAGUUUAGGUUUAAGUUGCUGCCAAAGUACUACAGUCAUAGAGGCAGUAAAUUCUUCCUUUGCACAAAUACAGAGGUAAGAAAAUUGAAAAGAAAAAUACAUAAGCCAAAAGUGUAGCAUACGUAGCUGUAAAAAUGUGAGGCAGCAGGUCUACAGCAGUUGUUCCAGCAGCACUUGAAGACAAAUGGCACAGUCUGACCAUAUGGUGGUAAUCUAGUACCUUAAAAAGAUUCCCUCCAGUGCAAAGCUGUUCAUUCAUCUCAUGAGAGCAUUUAUUGCUACACAGAGAAGUAGGUACAGUUCAGGAAAGCUACUUCUCUUGAAUCAAAGGUAAGUAUGUACUUUUGUGCCUUCCUGCACGGUGACAUGAUUUACCUGUAAAAUCUACAAAAAGACUUCCAGAACCUUCAAGAGAAGUUACACUGGGGCCUUGUUUUUCAAAGCACCAUCUCAACUACAGUCAUCUGAACUAAUUACACAUAUGCAGUAUUAGAAACACAAGUCUUGCUUACUUGGCCAUGGGAAAUCACUCUAGAUGAAAUCCUGUACAGUUUAGUUGUGCUCUGCUAUUUCUUAUCCAUGUAAAAACUGAUUUCUUAGCCAUGUAAAGACUGAUUUUAAAUAUAGAUGAACAGAUUGAAAGUAAUUUUCAAAACCAAAUGGAGCUAUGGCCACCAUGUCGCCAAGAUCAUGACUGGCAGACACAGCUUUACAUGCUUACGGAUCACUGAGGUAAGAUGAGGGUUAAGAGACAUUGUGCCAUCCAGCUGUCAUUAGGUACUGCUGGGGGUAAGAAGAGAUUAAAGUGGCAAGGUUUUUUUGUUCAUAGUGUUUAGAGUGCUGGGUUUUUUGGUUUUGUUUCGUUGGUGGUUUGAGGGUUUCUUUAGUAUUAGAACUUACAUGGAACUGAAUUAAAAACAAAUUAUAUUGUGAGCAUAGACAAAAUCUUCAGCCACGUCAUAGUUAAGAUUUCAUUAAACUUUUGACAUAGUUCAUUAAGAAUUCUUCCCCAUCCCCUGAUCCCAAGCAUCACUUACUGAUAUAAUGUACAAGAAUGUGAUAUCUUAAUUUGAAUAAAGCUUUCUGGAAGCAUAAAGCAUCUAGUACCUUCAGCAAAGUGUGUUCCUAGAAAAGUGUACCUUAGAACUCAAGUAAAACAGAUGUUUCCAUGCAAUAAAUUCUCAUUAUGAAAACUCCUCUCAUUAUAAGCAACAUGGACCUUUUAGCAUGCACUAAAGGUUAGUAAAGCACAUUUAUACGCCAUCCACAUUUAUAUAGCUUUACAUUUUAACUCUACAGUGUUGAUUACUGUCUUGCAAGCUUAAAUACUUACUUGUAGUGUUAAAACAUAACUUUAAAAAAAGACUAAACCCCAUUGCAAAAGAUCAAUAUGUUUUCUAAAGAAAUAAACAAGAAGUGUUUUAGACCAAGGUAAACACCUGUGUGCGUUCACAUGCACCAAAAGCUGAAAAUCUAUCAACAGCGUGAGCAAGCAAGUACAAUAGUUUGAAAUCCACAAGUUAAUAGAACUUAUGCAGAAAAAGCUUCACAGUUAGCCACCACAACCACAGCAUAUGCCACAGCUAGAAAUUAAAAAAUAUCAUCAGUUACCAAUUACAGAAGUAGAUCAAUACUAUGCAUCAGAAGUAAGCCUCUCUUUAUCAGAUGGCUGAGCAUGGAUCUCAGCCUUGUGAUAUGUGGCAUCGUAAUGAUCUUUCUUAUUUCUCUUGAAGAAACCACACUACAAGGAAGCAAGGUAUUUAGUCAAUUUUUGUGGACUGGAAGAUGUCAAACCAAUUAAAACUGACUUUAAUUAACUCUGUGAACUGUCUUCCUCUUAUCCCUCCACAAGCCAACCAAAAAAACACAAAAAAAUAACAAGAACUCAGCUGUUUCUAGGUCUGAGAACAACUUGGACUAAUCUGAUCUAUAAAAUAACAAUAACCCAAGUUAUUAACAAAAUAACAGAAUAACCUGACAAUAUUAUUUUAGAGGCAUUUUGAUAAAUUUGUAAUAAAUCUGCUUGUUAUUUUUUAAGAAAAGGUACAAUAAAGUAUGUCCAAGAAGCCUAGAAAGCUGUUUGUGGACCAGUGCAUGGGACAGACAAGAACAAAGGGUAAAACAAAAACAAUUAGUGCUUUGACCUGUUCAACACAGGCUUUUAUCUUAAACCAAUUAUGUAUCAGUCUUUGCAGUGUAAUGUUUGUCCUUCACAACACAGCACAGUGUUUGUCAUCAAAAGCAGCAUUUUACGCUGUGUGUUCAUGUAAAAAUGCUUGUAUUUUCCUGUGCAGUAAAACACCAGCAGUUACAACCUAACAGCCUACCUAAAGUAUUCAUUCAUCAGGAACAUAAGCAGGAGUAGCUGGGCAUUUAUUAGAAAAUAAGGAAGUCAGAACUAUCCUGUGAGAAGUAACCUGAAGCAAGUAGUAGUUCCUCAGUAAAGCUCAUUGCUGCAGUUUUGCUGGAAGAAGUGGCAGGAUAGUCUCCUUCACCUCUUCUUUCUUAAUAACCUUCUAAAAUAAUCCCAUAACAGCAAACUCUAACUGUCUACACUAAGAAUAAAAGAGCUGUUGUGCUAUACUUAGGACUACAAGUAGUUGGCAUUUUUAUAAAGGUCAUUGGAAAAACAGGUACUUGUUUUUUUCUUUUGCAAAUUGUUAACCUUUUGCUAUACAUACUUAUUUACUCCUCCUAAGAUUUUUAAAAAGCUCAUACUAAGAAAUGAACCAGCACAGUUGGCUGUGUAUUAUUACUGUACCCUUUGGCUAUUUUUAAUCUACUAUCAGUUUAAUGGUAUUUUUAAUGUUACAAGAACAUAGCCCUGCUAAAACAUUUGUAAACAGCUCACAGGGAGUGUUACAUCUAACUGCAGAGGGUCCCAUUAGCUGUAUCCAGCUAUGGUCUCUGAACAUUUGUCUUGAGUUUUGCCCUGAGCUCAAAAUACUUCCUUUUGAGGAUGUGAAAACAGAAAAAUUACGUAAGUCUGUCCAUAUAACCAUUUUCAUUCCAAAUGCUGCAAAAUUGAGAAACUAAUAAUGUAUGGUUUGGGCAGUUUUGCCCUAUUUUGAGUCCCAAAUACUUAAUCAUUUGCUUAGUUAGUUUCUAUCUUGUCAGUUAUAGAGCAGGAAAUAAAAAAUAGCCAGAUGAAUAAAAACUCACCUUCCACAGUAAGAAUACCAGCAGUGCAAGCAUCAGUAUUCCAGCAAGAAUAGCCACUGCAAUGAUCCACCAAGGUACUCCUGUAUAAAGGGCUACUGGUUUUGCAGGAAAGACAGUAACACGCACCUAAAGGACAGGAAAUAUGUGAAGAUGGAAAGAGCAUUUCCCAAGACCCAUGUGUAAGUAUAAAGCUACAACGUAUACAGUCUUACCUCUUUCUAGAGAUGUCUUCUACAAAAUGUUUUUGAAGAAAAAGACCUACUGUUAUCAUUUCAAUAGGGUAUUGAAUUCAAUUUUGAAUUGAACCCAGUUAAAAGGUAAAAAUGAUCAAUAAUUCAAAACUCAAUUAAAAAGUUAGACUUUAAGCUAGUUUUGCUUUAAAUUUGUCUGUUUCCUGGUCUUUUGAGAUGGCCGGAACCAUCACAACCAUAGCAUGUGUUUAGCAUCAAACACUGGACCUACCUGAGCAACUUCAUUUGUGAGUUUAACAUUCUUAGCUGCAGCAGGAACACUGAUAGAAGCCCUAACAAGAACGUCCAGGUAAUUCAUUUUGGAGAAGUCCUGUUCCAAAAUAAAAUAUGAAUAUCAGGCACAGAACAGGAAAGAACCCUGACCUUUCAAAAAGUGCAGGUAGGAAGACUUACCUCUAAGAAAGUGCUGUUCCACAGUCUGGAACGCAGCACAAUAGAUGCCUUGCUGUCUAAACCCUUCAGGGGACAUUUUAUGUCCACACACCGUGCAUUCACAUUGCAGUCCUGCAAUUACAAAUUUCUACAUGUAAAUAAGAUCAUGUUCUCACAGACUGUUUAAACCUCACCCCAAGAUUAAAAAUUGGAUUAUAUGCGUCAUACUUACGUGCAAGAACCAGUAUCUGUUUGUACCAACAGCAAUAGGAAAAUACCAUGAAGAUACUAUUACCUGUUUAUUUUAAUGUAGGUAACAAUGCAGAUAUUCUUUACUAGUUCUCUCUCAUAGUAGAUAAUCUAAAUGGUCAAAUUUUAAAAGCAUCCAUACUUGGAUUUAAGAUAAAAACAAGACAGAUAAAUUCUUUCACCCUGCCAAACCCAGAAAAGCCCUCUUAUGAGUGCAGGGGGACGUAUCUGACCAAGACUACAUACCAAGAUUUUGUGUUUUCUUUCUGCAAAUAAAGGAAAUGCCUGGCUCUCUGUGAUCUGCUUCUCUGCAACCUCACGCUUCCUUCUUGAGUUAUGGGAUUCCUAAAAGGGGAAAAAAAGUAAAAAGUAGUUUAUCGUAAGAAUGUUUUAAUUCUGACCUCAUGCAAGCAGCAAAACUAGAGUUCAGUGAAUGUUUUCUUCUUCCAAGAUCAGCAUAUGAGUGACAUCAUUAUAUAUCCCUAUUUACCUACAUUUAUUGCUAAUAGUAGAGUCAGGACAGCUAUUAAAAGUUGAGAUUACCUAAAGAAAGGCCAGCUGACUAUUUUCUUUAAAGGGCAAGGGGAGGUUUAGAUUUAUAAAGCCUUCAAUUCUAUUUCCCAUUUUUGUUCUAGAUAAUGGAUAUUAAUGGUACUAUGCUAAAAGAUUAAAGUUGUGCUGAGGCCACUAGAUGCAGGGGUUUUUGAACUGUAUAGUAAUUACACUCAGUAAAAAUUAUAUUAACUCAUAUAUCUGACAAAAAUGGAUUUUUGUGCAUGCAGUUUUAGUGGUGGAAAAUAAAACUCGCAUAUGAUCUUAGAUUAUAUGAAAAAAAGAAUAAAGGCUCGGGUUUUGGGAAGAAGAUCUUGCUAGAUAGGCACAAUGCAGGCCUAUAAAAAUUGCUUGAGAAAUUCUUUUUAUUAUAUUUGUUGUAAAAAUGUAAAUUUAAGUGCAAGCCCUUUGCCUUUAAAAAAAUUACAAUGAAUUCUCCCAGGCCGGGAAGAUGUUUACAGUUAUUUAUUGUUUUCUGUGUAAGGACUCAGGUUGGAUUUUUUUUUAUUAUUGAACAGAUUUCAGUAAUGCUGAUGGAAUUGGUUAGAGCAAUCAGCAGUUUCAUCUGCAGUAAGAGCAUAUGCCAGCAGUGCCCAUUGCAAAAACAGUCACCCCAACACAGCAUCUACCCUUUAGCAUAUUAGCCUCAUUAGCUGUUAUGAAGCCUGAUAAGCUUAAUCUGUGAUACAUUGUUCAUGUAUUGUACUUGUGAGCUUCUUUAGAUAAAAAAUAAAUCCUUCUAGAGCAAGCUCUGAUAUGCCCUACUGUCACAUGCUGUGGAGUGCUUUCAUGUUGUACCAACUGACGAACAGAAGACAGCGUAACAUAACAUACCGCAACAUUCAGACUGUUGAUUUCCUUCUCAGGUUGACAGGAGACUUUUUCCAAGCCUUUGGAGUCUAUUUUCAUCAAAUAAAGCAGCCAUUUGCCAUUACUAAUUUCUUUUGGCCACUGGAUGUCCAGGGAAGCAGUACCAAAUGUUUUCAGUGGUCUGCCCAAGUUAGUUACCUGUUAAAACAAAUGUUCUUUAAACUGCGAAAUACUUUUUAAAGGGAUUUUUUUUCUUGAAAACAUUAUUGACUGGGCCAAGCUUUAAACAUGCAGCUAGCAGGAAACUGAGAUCAGAUGAAAGGCACUCAAAGCAGUACAAAGCCAAAGCAUAUACUAAAAGUAGCGCACUUGGAUAGCAAGUAAAUACAAGAUUUAAACAUGUAAGAAUUAAAAUUCCCUAAGGUAAACUUUUAGUUGUUGAUUUUUAGAAAUCUAUUGUGAAACGACAACUCCAAUUUAGAGUUAACAAAUCAUGCAGUUACAUAACUGAGGCAAAGUGCAAGUUAUGAGGAACUCUGACACACAGAGAUAACCAGCUCUUGCUCUCGUAAGUAUGAAAGUUGUUUCCCCUCUUUUUUACUGGCCUAGUGUUACUGUUGAUGAUAGCAAGCUCUAAAUCAGAUAUUCAAACUGCUGCUACUGAAAUACAUGCGUGUAGGUACAGAAGGAAGUAAAGGACUGACGGAGAUGGACUUUUAUUUCUCUUAGUCUUCUCCUUGAUUUCUAUUUGGCAGAAGACAAAACCAGUGGAACGGACACACGCUCGGAGGGGCUCUCACAGUGUCUCGUGUGCCAGCUCAGCCCUGCAGGCACCACGUGCCCGUAACUCACCAGGCAGUGCCUGGGCAGGCCACAGGCAGGUUCUGCUCUAGCUUUUGUUCCCUCCCUGCAGGGGGUUAUGCCCUACAACUGAAUGUGCAGGAACUGCUCCACAAAAAAAAGUGUGCAGACAGACUCAGGUCACUUCCUCAAAAUAUGACCAUAAAACAUCAAAGCCUAAAGGAAGUCAGGAAUUUGGGACAAGGAAAGCCAAUUCAAAUAUAUCAACUUUUCCAAGUAUUCAUAUGUAUAAAAUGAUAAGCAGUGCGUUUGAUUAAAAGCAGCUGUUGACAUUAAUCUAAAUUACUCACUCUGAAUUCAUACUCAAUGAGGCUUCCAAUAUUAUCUUCAGAUUUCAUAGCACUCUCACCAACGAUGUUACCUCCAAAAUAUACCUGAGAAGGCUUAGCAAUUCUGUUCAGGUGGGGGUGGGGAAGGAAAAUAAUCAGAUUUAUAUGAGUCUGCAGCAGAACUGUCCCCAGAACCCCCAUUUGUUAUGCUAACAACACUCACCCAGUGAGCGAUAAAAGCAAUUCAAUAACCACUUUAGCACUGGCUGUAAUUGGAGUCAAAUUAACUUGAGUGCUCGUUCUACAAUGAAAAGGAAACAACGGUGUUUAUUUUACAAAUUUAGUGGUUUUCACUUUACUAUUAAAUUACUUUUGUGAAAGGAACAAAUGAAUUCAAAAUGUUUAUGACUGUCUAUAAAAACAUAAUGCAUGUACAUGAACACCAAGAAAACUUACGUUUCCAGCUUCAGGUUAAUGUCCAAGUCUGUUGUAUCAACAUUAACUUUAGUGGUACUUAAGAUCAGAUAAAAGGUUACCUAGACAAGAAAGAAUAUAAUGAAAUAUAUAAACAUUUUGUAAAAUAUAUUGAUAUAUGCAAUAUUAUAAAAAUGCACAAUCAAGUUCUGGAGUUAAAAAGACAGGUGUGAGUCAAAUUUCCAGUUGUGGCACACAGAAACUCUGGAUGACCGCAGUCAGAAAUGAGAUUUUACAACUUGAGUAAAACAGUUGCAACUUACAUUGGAAUUUCUCUUAAAAGGAUUUCCAAGUUCACAGUCUGCUUGAGAACCAUUUUGGUUAGCACCACACGUUAGCUGUUUUUCCUGAUUGAACAGAAUACAUUUAUCGGUAUUAAAAUUACCUGAAAAUAUUUUAAAAUUUUUAAUAUAUUUUCUCUUAAAAAUACUUACAGGAUAACCCCUCAUUUCCCUGAAUGCAGAGUAUGUCAGACUGUCUGGAAAAUUUGCAAUUAGUUUAGCUUCAUAUGCAUCUUCACCAUCUUGUGGAUUUUUUAGAUUAGAUGGAUUGUUUGUCACUGUUAUUUCCAGGGCAAUAUCUUUCUGAUCUUUCAGAACAAGCACUGGCACACCAUUUUCCCUACAGAAACAAGAGUAUGCAGGGUUGUGUGCAUUAGGAAAACCAGUGUGUAUGAAAGUUUGAUUCUUCUCAUGGUUUACCUGAAUAGAAUUUCCUGUAUUAGCAAGAAUUCUUGUAAGGCUGUAAACACAUGAACAGUCACAGUUUUUUCCCCCAGACCAGUAUUUCAUCUCUGAAAGUGGCCAGCAGUUAACAGGACAGAACAGACUGAUAAAUCCCUCAAGUAAUCAAGUUUAUAGUAUUUCUGAACCAGCACUUUCAUCUGAUUCACGUCCAAUAGUGAUGAAUUUUGUCCAGAUCAAUCUACUGAUCCACUUUUUUCUUCUAAAGUGCAAGUGACUUUGGCUUCUGAGUCAGAGUGUGGCCCUCACUGCUAAAGGUGACUGACUGCUGACAGUGAGUAAACACACCUCCUGUUUGUUUUACCCCUUUUCUGGUUUCACUGGCCCUGCAGGGAGGAGGGAUGCAGCAGGGUGCUGGAUGUGUGUGACACUGAAAUGGUUACUCUGUUUAUUUCUCUAACUGCUUGUCUUGGGCUACUAGACUAUACUAUAUUGAGUUGUCAUCUUCACAAUAAAAUUUCAUCUACAAAACAGUUAACAGUGUCACACACAGUAAACUACUGCAAGGUUGGUUUAUAAAUUCAUUUCUCCAGGUGUCAAAAAUGUCUUUCUUUUAGUCCCCACCUGCACAGUUGUGGCCACUUUGUAUCCAUUUGACUCUGUACCACUUUGCUUCUCAAGCCCAUCCCCUCUUCCCUCGUCCUGGCAGAUCAGUACUAUUACACUGGGCUGUGUUUGCCAGACAGAAAACAAAGCUGCUCUCUCUCCCAGAACCCCCUCCUAAAAGUUCUUCUAAGCACUUGUUAGUGCUUUGAACCUUAGCGAUGCAUUAAUCAAGGCUUACAGCGGUAGAGAAGUGAACCUGUCUUCAUUUCCUUCUCUAGUGCAAAACCGGUACUGAAGUUUCAGAUUGCUGUGACAUUCAUUGUCUUCUCCACAUCCUUCUUUUAAGAACUCCACCUAAAGAAAAACCAAAGCAAUUCUAAUGCCUGACAUAUGAUAGUAGCUUAAAACAAGAUUUCUCCAGUGCACUGCAUAAAGCAUCUACACGGAACUCAGAGACACUUCCCUGGACAGAGAUUCAUUUGAAUUUAGAAUUGGUAUAAGAUCUGGAAGUGCACUCUCUUUUCUUGUGGAUGGUGAGCUAGACUCCAGGCC
Long non-coding RNA from Myiozetetes cayanensis, 10537 nucleotides. RefSeq lists it as uncharacterized. The transcript is spliced from 3 exons. Lineage: Eukaryota; Metazoa; Chordata; Aves; Passeriformes; Tyrannidae. The record is from RefSeq and is a predicted model, not a curated record.